Molecule: unclassified non-coding RNA, 1154 nt
Filed under: Hevea brasiliensis (rubber tree)
Lineage: Eukaryota; Viridiplantae; Streptophyta; Magnoliopsida; Malpighiales; Euphorbiaceae
Source: RNAcentral
AUUAUGAUGCAGAUUAGCCCUACUUACAGACCAAACUUGACCUGCAUGAAAAUGCUGACAUGUUCUAUCAUUGUCAAAGUUGUAGAAGUCCUGGACAGAUUUUUUCUGCUGUGUAGCUUUUGAAGAAUCACAUAAAUUCUCCUCCAAGCUUGUAGGCUGCAAUGCUGGUAGCAAAUUUACAGUAUCCACAUAGUUGUCUACAUCUGGUAGAGUACUCCAUCCAAACUUCCUACCAGCAGAAGGCCAAUUUGGUUCUGUAACACAAAUUUCAAGUUGUUGCCUAUCCAUGCCGUGCAAAUUUACUUGAUUUGCUUCAGGGAUUGAAACAUAUUUUGCAAGCAUUUCAGUUGCUUUACCACCCUUACCACAAAUUUGACUUGAAGAGUCCUUAUAUGCUGAAGAGCUUUGAGAAGUACUAUUGGUCUCUUCAUUUAGGCUACUUUGAUAGAUUGAUGUUUGCAAAUCAAAAGAUCUAUAAUUCUCCCAGCUUGUAAUCCUUUUCAAAUCAAAUUCAGAACGCUUCUUGUGGUCUUCAAGCACUAUUAAUGCAUCCUUUAGAAGUUUCAGAGCCAAUUCGGUACAAGGGAACUGUGUCCUGAUAAGCUGCAAUAAGGUGACAAGCUUCUGGUAUUGGCACCCAAUAUCAACCAUUGAAGAAGAGGGCGUAACCUGAAGGACCCAGUAGUGAUCUAUUCCACAUCCUGGAAGCUCGACUCUGGCAGCAGUGAGUGUGUCGCAUAAGGUUAACAUAGAACCAAUUUUAUCAUUUUGAGGAAAAAGCUGAUGCGCUCUAAGCAAGUGCUCCCUGGCACUGGCUAAGUCGUCGCAAAUAAUCAUCUGCUCAGCCACCUCUUGCUCUCUAAGAGCCUGCAGCAUCAGUUGAUUCAUAUCUAUUCCAGAUUUCAGAGGCUAACUCUCUAAAACACCAAAAUAAGCCAUUUCAGUCAAGCCAGGUGCCAAUCUUUAUGCAAGGCUUCCACUUCUAUUGUUUAACUUUUGGGCAUAGAAACUCAGCUCUAACUGGCUGCGAUUACACAGCUCUAAUCAUGCAUGUUUCAUUGUCUGAAACGAAAGAGAAGUAGAUAAAGCGUCCGUGUUUGCUGGAGAAGAAAAGGGUUGGCCCAAAGCUGGCAAGGUUCCCUGAAGAAGAAAAG